Clupea harengus (Atlantic herring) is the source of this 188-nucleotide long non-coding RNA. RefSeq lists it as uncharacterized. The record is from RefSeq and is a predicted model, not a curated record. The transcript has 3 exons. NCBI's taxonomy places the organism in Eukaryota, Metazoa, Chordata, Actinopteri, Clupeiformes, Clupeidae.
UGGCAGUGUGCAGCUCUGGAUGGAAAGUGUUCCAUCAGCUGUGACAGUGAGGACAUCAAGUGCUAUCUCAUAGACAACAACGGAUUCAUUCUGGUCUCAGAAGAGUACUUACAGACAGGACUGUUCUUCGGUGAAGUGGAGGGAGCUGUGAUGAACAAGCUGCUCCUUAUGGGGUCUUUUAAAAAGCA